CUUGAAACACGGACCAAGGAGUCUAGCAUGUGCGCAAGUCAUUGGGACUUGCUAAACCUAAAGGCAAAAUGAAAGUGAAGGCGUGCCUCGCGCGCGCCGAGGGAGGAUGGGCCCGGCCUCGGUCGGGCCUCGCACUCCCGGGGCGUUUCGUUCUCAUCGCGAGAUGAGGCGCACCCAGAGCGUACACGCUGGGACCCGAAAGAUGGUGAACUAUGCCUGGUCAGGACGAAGUCAGGGGAAACCCUGAUGGAGGUCCGUAGCGAUUCUGACGUGCAAAUCGAUCGUCGGAACUGGGUAUAGGGGCGAAAGACUAAUCGAACCAUCUAGUAGCUGGUUCCCUCCGAAGUUUCCCUCAGGAUAGCUGGCGCUCGCUUUGCGAGUCUCAUCCGGUAAAGCGAAUGAUUAGAGGCAUUGGGGUCGAAACGGCCUCAACCUAUUCUCAAACUUUAAAUGGGUGAGAUCUCCGGCUUGCUUGAAACGUGAAGCCGCGAGAUAUAUUCAUUCGGAUCAGGGUGCCAAGUGGGCCAUUUUUGGUAAGCAGAACUGGCGCUGUGGGAUGAACCAAACGCCGAGUUAAAGCGCCUAAAUCGACGCUUAUGGGAUACCAUGAAAGGCGUUGGUAACUUAAGACAGCAGGACG
This 640-nucleotide ribosomal RNA is filed under the name Elmidae gen. sp. 1 MF-2023a. Its description in RNAcentral is "partial large subunit ribosomal RNA". It matches the Rfam family "Eukaryotic large subunit ribosomal RNA", at positions 653 to 1247 of the family's 3401-position model. Lineage: Eukaryota; Metazoa; Arthropoda; Insecta; Coleoptera; Elmidae. The record is from RNAcentral.